AUACGGAGGAUGCGAGCGUUAUCCGGAUUUAUUGGGUUUAAAGGGUGCGUAGGCGGAGCAUCAAGUCAGCGGUGAAAGUUCGUGGCUCAAACCAUGAAAUUGCCGUUGAAACUGUUGUUCUUGAGUGUAGAUGAGGUAGGCGGAAUUCGUAGUGUAGCGGUGAAAUGCUUAGAUAUUACGAAGAACUCCAAUUGCGUAGGCAGCUUACUAGGCUACAACUGACGCUGAGGCACGAAGGUGUGGGUAUC
Molecule: ribosomal RNA, 248 nt
Filed under: uncultured bacterium
Lineage: Bacteria
Description: partial 16S ribosomal RNA
Rfam family: Bacterial small subunit ribosomal RNA
Source: RNAcentral